GGGAAGCUUCCUAAAACCAGGGUGAUCCACACGCCAAAGAACGUGUCGACCAGGUGAAGAUCAAAACUUCAAUGGAAGUUGGUGAUCUGAUGAAUCGCCAUUGGAGUCACCACAGAAGCCCUAGCCGCACAUAUAUUUUUCUCAUUGAAAAAAAAAAAAAAUAAUAACUUUAUAGUGGUUAUUCCAUCGAUUUAGGGAGUAUUAUGAAGUUUUAUUAAAUUAUUUAAUAAAAACAAUUGAAAGAUGCUCAUUUACCAUGAAAAAGAGUUUAGCAUACAUUAAUACAAAUGUAGAAUAUGGUAUAAAUUUUAAAACAACACUUAAGAUUAU
This 330-nucleotide long non-coding RNA is filed under the name Brassica rapa (field mustard). Its description in RNAcentral is "long non-coding RNA (BRAP_LNC008921)". Lineage: Eukaryota; Viridiplantae; Streptophyta; Magnoliopsida; Brassicales; Brassicaceae. The record is from RNAcentral.